AACGAACGCUGGCGGCGUGGAUAAGACAUGCAAGUCGAACGAGAGAAUUGCUAGCUUGCUAAUAAUUCUCUAGUGGCGCACGGGUGAGUAACACGUGAGUAACCUGCCCCCGAGAGCGGGAUAGCCCUGGGAAACUGGGAUUAAUACCGCAUAGUAUCGAAAGAUUAAAGCAGCAAUGCGCUUGGGGAUGGGCUCGCGGCCUAUUAGUUAGUUGGUGAGGUAACGGCUCACCAAGGCGAUGACGGGUAGCCGGUCUGAGAGGAUGUCCGGCCACACUGGAACUGAGACACGGUCCAGACACCUACGGGUGGCAGCAGUCGAGAAUCAUUCACAAUGGGGGAAACCCUGAUGGUGCGACGCCGCGUGGGGGAAUGAAGGUCUUCGGAUUGUAAACCCCUGUCAUGUGGGAGCAAAUUAAAAAGAUAGUACCACAAGAGGAAGAGACGGCUAACUCUGUGCCAGCAGCCGCGGUAAUACAGAGGUCUCAAGCGUUGUUCGGAAUCACUGGGCGUAAAGCGUGCGUAGGCUGUUUCGUAAGUCGUGUGUGAAAGGCGCGGGCUCAACCCGCGGACGGCACAUGAUACUGCGAGACUAGAGUAAUGGAGGGGGAACCGGAAUUCUCGGUGUAGCAGUGAAAUGCGUAGAUAUCGAGAGGAACACUCGUGGCGAAGGCGGGUUCCUGGACAUUAACUGACGCUGAGGCACGAAGGCCAGGGGAGCGAAAGGGAUUAGAUACCCCUGUAGUCCUGGCAGUAAACGGUGCACGCUUGGUGUGCGGGGAAUCGACCCCCCGCGUGCCGGAGCUAACGCGUUAAGCGUGCCGCCUGGGGAGUACGGUCGCAAGAUUAAAACUCAAAGAAAUAGACGGGGACCCGCACAAGCGGUGGAGUAUGUGGCUUAAUUCGAUGCAACGCGAAGAACCUUACCUGGGCUUGACAUGUAAUGAACAACAUGUGAAAGCAUGCGACUCUUCGGAGGCGUUACACAGGUGCUGCAUGGCCGUCGUCAGCUCGUGUCGUGAGAUGUUUGGUUAAGUCCAGCAACGAGCGCAACCCCUGUUGCCAGUUACCAGCACGUGAAGGUGGGGACUCUGGCGAGACUGCCCAGAUCAACUGGGAGGAGGGUGGGGACGACGUCAGGUCAGUAUGGCCCUUAGGCCCAGGGCUGCACACGUACUACAAUGCCCAGUACAGAGGGGGCGGAAGCCGCGAGGCGGAGGAAAUCCUGAAAACUGGGCCCAGUUCGGACUGUAGGCUGCAACCCGGCUACACGAAGCCGGAAUCGCUAGUAAUGGCGCAUCAGCUACGGCGCCGUGAAUACGUUCCCGGGUCUUGCACA
Molecule: ribosomal RNA, 1338 nt
Filed under: uncultured bacterium
Lineage: Bacteria
Description: bacterial SSU rRNA
Rfam family: Bacterial small subunit ribosomal RNA
Source: RNAcentral